Long non-coding RNA from Grus americana (Whooping crane), 1529 nucleotides. RefSeq lists it as uncharacterized. The record is from RefSeq and is a predicted model, not a curated record. The transcript is spliced from 5 exons. NCBI's taxonomy places the organism in Eukaryota, Metazoa, Chordata, Aves, Gruiformes, Gruidae.
CAGCAUGGGAGAGUUGGGAGGUUCUGCCUGGAAGGCAAAAGACAAGCGGGGACUCACCUACUGCGCAAAGGAUGAGUCAGAAGUACCCAGCAGUACCCACUGCCUGACAUGGGCUUCAGGCUGGAGGAGCUGGAACAGCGUCUCUGGCUACUGCCCCAGCAAUUUGUGCCAAUUCCAGACAACUCCAGAUGUGUGUCUUUCCCACCAGUAUCUGUAGAGACUUGGCUCUGGAGACGGGGAUCUGCUUGCCAACAUACUGCCUUCCGGUGCUUUCGGCCCCAAGGGUCAAGUUCCUGCUGCCACACUCUCAUCCCUGGCUGUGCUGCCAGACGUGGAGGGCAGAUGUGCUGGCCCUGAGUCUAAUCUGUCAUCAGCUGAGAGGCCGCUGGCUCCCGCCGCGCGUGUGAACCUGAGCUGCUCGCCUGUUCCUCUCCCCUCGUCCAGAACCAGGCAGUGCCAGACAGAGGGAUUUCUUCUUAAGGAGCUUGGAAGAAUGAACUGACUGAUAGAAACCGCAAGACUCUGAGAAGGGCACUUACUACAGGUUGAAAAGACAGAUGCAAUGGAGAAACUUCUUUCCACCCCUAAUUCAUCGUUCAAUUCCCUGCCAUCUUCAAGAGUGUCAUCAGAAUCACGAGGGUCUUGAAGAAGAGUAAAGAAACCGAGUCAAGUCACAAAAAACUCAGAAUAACAUGACCUGCCACCCUGACAACUGUGGCUGUGAUGUUCCAGUUCCAGAGACGUAAGCAAAACUGCCCAGUCCUCAGGACUGACUGAGCACAGUUUAUGUGAUGUUGGUUGUAACUAUUUGCAAUUGCAUAUUAGCACAACUUCUCUGAAUUUUGUCUUGGAAAACUCAGUGACUUUAGGACCUCUGGCAUUAACAACAGCCCUUUCCAGUCUAAGAAUCUGAAUGAGGUGCUGCGAAGUUCUCAUUUUAUUAUGAAGAGCCGGAUGAAACCAGAUGCAUAAUAAAGCAAAUCUUUCACAAGCAGCCUAAGCGCUGGAUGUGCAAUGAAGACAAUUGCAUUUCAGCCCAGAGGUGGCUGCAUUUGAGCCACAGGGAAGUAAUCUGUUUAUAAACAAACUUCUCAAGCACUUUGAGAUGAAAACACUACACAGAAUCAAUUUAAUUCACUCUACGUAUGUGAAAAACUCUCAUUUCAUGUUAUUGUUCUCCUGGUUUUGCUACGCCAAUCACACUGCAAUUCCAAAUGUCUUCACUCUGUGCUGGAACAGCAGUCCACUACAUUCAAAAAAGCCAGCAGAAUAAAAAAACUUGUGAUGGAAAUUGUUCCUGUGCGUGCAGCCUGCUCAUGUUUCAGAAACUGUUCAUAUUCCAUUUCUCUUUGUCUGGUUAACAAGUGGCUACCAGUAAUUUGAUGGCAUUAAUAAGGUUUUGAAUUCCAGGUGUACUUUACCAAUUAGUAGCAUGUCCUAGGCACUGUGUUCUGUUGCACGAUGGUCGCCUUGCAUUUGGGCUCCUGGCUGCUUUCACUUUCUACUCUGAUGCUCUCCUGACUCUAGAA